GUUGGUUGUUUUUUUUGGGGUGGGUGAGGGUUAAAGAAUAAAUUUGCUAAUGUUCAGUUGGAAUCAACACUAAAAAGUUUCUUAUGGUGUCAAUCCUCUGACUUCUGUUGCAAAAAGCAAGUCAUAGGGUUAGUGAUCGGUGGCUUUAAUUAACUCCUUUCAUGCUUUAUAUUUUGCUAAAGGUUGAAGACCUAGAUGCUUUUUGAUAUGAAGUUUUGGUCUGUUAUAUGUCUAUUGUUCUUGACAUCAUUUUCAUGUUUCAGACUAUUCAAAAAAGAAGUUAAUAUGAUUGUAAUGUUAAUUUCUCUCUUAUGAGUAAGAGGAUACUAUAUUUAGUAUGUGCAUACAAUACGAGGUCCUCAAACUGGUCCGAACUUUUUCACCUAACCUUGGCCUCAUUUUAUGGAUCAAUGAACAAAAUUAAUAGUCCAGCCAAUCUAGCAUAAAUUUGACCCUUACCUUAAAGUAAUUGCAACAGAACAUUUUAAAGUUUUAAUCUUUAGCAUUAUGCCCCAAAUAUUCACAGAAAAAUGUCCAACAAGAUCUAAUUUAAGGAAGACCAAAUAAACACGAUUUUAAAAUUCCUAUGGAGAUUUGUAUUGAAAUGGGAGAUAACUCUGUAAAAAGGUAGAAAUAUAAAUAAAAAUUGAUCCAAAAUUAUAACUUUAAAGCUUCUAUUCAGCAGAAUGUAUUGAUUCUUGAUAAUGUUAGCUGCCUUUAGAGUAUAAAAAACAACUCUAAAGGUGUUUUAUAUCAUUUACCAAGCUACAAUCUAGAUUUCGUAAUUCAUUGGUUGACCAUUUAUUAAAUUUUUC
Molecule: long non-coding RNA, 815 nt
Filed under: Mytilus galloprovincialis (Mediterranean mussel)
Lineage: Eukaryota; Metazoa; Mollusca; Bivalvia; Mytilida; Mytilidae
Source: RNAcentral